GUUUGCAAUACUCUGAAUAAUUGUCAAUGUGAUGUUGGAUAUUCUCCAACUUGUAGGCAAGACAGUUCAUCACCAGGAGGAAGUACUGAUGAUAGGUUAUAGAUUUUAGGAAAAAGUACACCCUUAUUUGUGAAACGACAUGCUGUUCCUCAGAAAAAUGGCCUUUUCAUGAGUUCCUACAUUUUUCUACCUUUCCUCAUUUUAACUGCCAUCAUUGGUCUUAAAUGGAAUAAAAUGAAGGGAUUUUGGCACUGAGCAAAAAGCGUAAGUGGAAGAAGUCAGCAGUAGUAGCAGCAACAGUAACAGCAGUAGUGACAGCAACCAGUCAUAGAGUAACUACAUGACAACAUCAAAAACCAUAAGAUAGAGAAAGGAUAUUACCAAGAAAUUUACCAUUAACUGGUUUGAUUCAACAAUGAAAACAAAAAUCGCCUUUUUUCUCCUUUCAUUAUGGCUUAAAGCUUUCAAUUGCACAAACAAAAUAAAUUAUAUGACAGAAAGUA
Molecule: long non-coding RNA, 503 nt
Organism: Piliocolobus tephrosceles (Ugandan red Colobus)
Lineage: Eukaryota; Metazoa; Chordata; Mammalia; Primates; Cercopithecidae
Exons: 4
Source: RefSeq, a predicted model, not a curated record